This 937-nucleotide ribosomal RNA is filed under the name Exiguobacterium oxidotolerans. RNAcentral's name for it is "bacterial SSU rRNA". It matches the Rfam family "Bacterial small subunit ribosomal RNA", at positions 1 to 916 of the family's 1533-position model. The record is from RNAcentral. Lineage: Bacteria; Bacillati; Bacillota; Bacilli; Caryophanales.
AGAUUGAACGCUGGCGGCAGACGAACGCUGGCGGCGUGCCUAAUACAUGCAAGUCGAGCGCAGGAAGCUCGCGGAACUCUUCGGAGGGAAGCAAGUGGAAUGAGCGGCGGACGGGUGAGUAACACGUAAGGAACCUGCCUCAAGGAUUGGGAUAACUCCGAGAAAUCGGAGCUAAUACCGGAUAGUUCUUCGGACCGCAUGGUCCGAUGAUGAAAGGCGCUUCGGCGUCACCUUGAGAUGGCCUUGCGGUGCAUUAGCUAGUUGGUGGGGUAAUGGCCUACCAAGGCGACGAUGCAUAGCCGACCUGAGAGGGUGAUCGGCCACACUGGGACUGAGACACGGCCCAGACUCCUACGGGAGGCAGCAGUAGGGAAUCUUCCACAAUGGACGAAAGUCUGAUGGAGCAACGCCGCGUGAGUGAUGAAGGUUUUCGGAUCGUAAAACUCUGUUGUAAGGGAAGAACAGAUACGAGAGGUAAUGCUCGUAUCCUGACGGUACCUUGCGAGAAAGCCACGGCUAACUACGUGCCAGCAGCCGCGGUAAUACGUAGGUGGCAAGCGUUGUCCGGAAUUAUUGGGCGUAAAGCGCGCGCAGGCGGCCUUUUAAGUCUGAUGUGAAAGCCCCCGGCUCAACCGGGGAGGGUCAUUGGAAACUGGAAGGCUUGAGUACAGAAGAGAAGAGUGGAAUUCCAUGUGUAGCGGUGAAAUGCGUAGAGAUGUGGAGGAACACCAGUGGCGAAGGCGACUCUUUGGUCUGUAACUGACGCUGAGGCGCGAAAGCGUGGGGAGCAAACAGGAUUAGAUACCCUGGUAGUCCACGCCGUAAACGAUGAGUGCUAGGUGUUGGGGGGUUUCCGCCCCUCAGUGCUGAAGCUAACGCAUUAAGCACUCCGCCUGGGGAGUACGGCCGCAAGGCUGAAACUCAAAGGAAUUGACGG